AGCGAACGCUGGCGGCAGGCCUAACACAUGCAAGUCGAACGAACUCUUCGGAGUUAGUGGCGGACGGGUGAGUAACACGUGGGAACGUGCCUUUUGGUUCGGAAUAACUCAGGGAAACUUGUGCUAAUACCGAAUGUGCCCUUCGGGGGAAAGAUUUAUCGCCAUUAGAGCGGCCCGCGUCUGAUUAGCUAGUUGGUGAGGUAACGGCUCACCAAGGCGACGAUCAGUAGCUGGUCUGAGAGGAGGACCAGCCACACUGGGACUGAGACACGGCCCAGACUCCGACGGGAGGCAGCAGUGGGGAAUCUUGCGCAAUGGGCGAAAGCCUGACGCAGCCAUGCCGCGUGAAUGAUGAAGGGCUUAGGAUUGUAAAAUUCUUUCACCGGGGACGAUAAUGACGGUACCCGGAGAAGAAGCCCCGGCUAACUUCGUG
This 433-nucleotide ribosomal RNA is filed under the name uncultured bacterium. RNAcentral describes it as "partial 16S ribosomal RNA". It matches the Rfam family "Bacterial small subunit ribosomal RNA", at positions 29 to 507 of the family's 1533-position model. The record is from RNAcentral.